AGCAGCCGCGGUAAUUCCAGCUCCAAUAGCGUAUAUUAAAGUUGUUGCAGUUAAAAGCCCGUAGUUGAAUUUCGGGGUUUAUCCGUUGGUCGGGCUUUUUGGUCUGUACUGGCGUGAUGGAUUCCUACCUUCUGAAUAACCGGCAUGCCAUUAAUUUGGUGCGCCGGGGAAGCAGGACUGUUACCUUGAAAAAAUUAGAGUGCUUAAAGCAGGCUUAUGCCUGAAUACAUUAGCAUGGAAUAAUGAAAUAGGACGGCAUGGUUCUAUUUUGUUGGUUUCUAGGAUCACCGUAAUGAUUAAUAGGGAUAGUUGGGGGCAUUAGUAUUCAAUUGUCAGAGGUGAAAUUCUUGGAUUUAUUGAAGACUAACUUCUGCGAAAGCAUUUGCCAAGGAUGUUUUCAUUAAUCAAGAACGAAAGUUAGGGGAUCGAAGACGAUCAGAUACCGUCGUAGUCCUAACCAUAAACUAUGCCGACUGGGGAUCGGACGAUGUUAAUUUUUUAAUGACUCGUUCGGCGCCUU
This 520-nucleotide ribosomal RNA is filed under the name uncultured Acaulospora. RNAcentral's name for it is "SSU rRNA". It matches the Rfam family "Eukaryotic small subunit ribosomal RNA", at positions 569 to 1089 of the family's 1831-position model. Lineage: Eukaryota; Fungi; Glomeromycota; Glomeromycetes; Diversisporales; Acaulosporaceae. The record is from RNAcentral.